This 709-nucleotide long non-coding RNA is filed under the name Pan troglodytes (chimpanzee). Its description in RNAcentral is "lincRNA". The record is from RNAcentral. Lineage: Eukaryota; Metazoa; Chordata; Mammalia; Primates; Hominidae.
CGGCGUCUUGGGGCGUCCACUGUGAGGACGGAGCUUCCUCUCAGCACCCACCCACGAGGGGCCGGAGCUUUGGGGCACCCGGGGACACCUGGGGCCGCGUCCGCUGUGAGGACAGGGAGACGCUCAGGGACACCUGGGGCCGCCGGGGAGAAAGGAGAGGAGAAGGAAAGCGGAGACCCCGUCGGGCUGUCGGGAUGUUGGGGACUGGCAGGCGCCACAGCCUGAGGUCGAGGAAACAGGCGCCUCCGGAUCAGUGCUCAUUUUGUGUUUGUUUUGUUUUGUUUUGUUUUGUUUGAGACGGACUUUCGCUCUUGUUUCCCAGGUUGGAGUGCAAUGGCGCGAUCUCGGCUCACUGCAACCUCCGCCUCCCGGGUUCAAGCGAUUCUCCUGCCUCAGCCUCUCGAGUAGCUGGGAUUACAGGCAUGCGCCAGCACGCCCGGCUAAUUUUGUGUUUUUAGUAGAGACGGGGUUUCUCCAUGUUGGUCAGGCUGGUCUUGAACUCCCAACCUCAUCAGGUGAUCCACCCACCUCGGCCUCCCAAAGUGCUGGGAUUACAGGCGUGAGCCACCUGGCCUGGUCAGUGCUCCGUGUUUUCAGGCUCGUUUGUUAACAUAGUAGAAACAACACAGGAAAAUGGAAAAGUAGGCACGUUAUCAUGCUCACGCCACUGCACUGAAGUCCUGGGCAACAGAGCGAGGCCUUGUCUCAA